Molecule: long non-coding RNA, 1119 nt
Filed under: Selaginella moellendorffii
Lineage: Eukaryota; Viridiplantae; Streptophyta; Lycopodiopsida; Selaginellales; Selaginellaceae
Description: long non-coding RNA (SMOE_LNC001727)
Source: RNAcentral
AAGAACUCCUGCAGUCAGGGAACGAAGCCGUCCAGGAGCCACAGCCUGUGCUUGAGGCCGUGCCUGAGGAUUCUGAAGAGGCUGCCAAGGAGGUGGAACCGGCCGAGGCAGUCGUAGCUCAAGUACCAACUGCCACAGUGGAUGACGUCUUACCUGCACACGAGGAAAUCAAGGAGGAAGAGAGCAUAGAGCCGGCCAAGGUGGCUCUGGAUGACCAGGUGGAGAAUGUCGAGCCCAAGGAGAGUGCUUCAGUCGCGAUCCUGGACGAGGGAGAAAAGUUGGCGGUGCCAGAGAUCGAGAGUGGUGCACCGGAUUCCAUGCAUGCGACAGAUGCCACAGUGGAGGACACACAGCGAGCAUCUUCUGCCAGUGAAGACGUUCACGAGAACGUGGAAGAGGAGCAAGCGAACGUUGCGGUGCCACAUCAAGUUUCCGAACGAGAGCUUGAGAUUGCCGUCCCAGUAGAAGGACUCCCACAGUUGGUGAACGAAGCCGUCCAGGAGCCACAACCUGUGCCUGAGGCCGUUCCCGAGCCAGAGGCCGUGCCUGAGGCUGCUGAAGAGGCUGCCAAGGAGGUGGAAGCGGCCAAGCCAGUCGUAGCUCAAGUACCAACCGCCACAGUGGAUGACAUCUUACCCACACACGAGGAAAUCAAGGAGGAAGGGAGCAUAGAGCCGGCCAAGGUGGCUCUGGAUGACCACGUGGAGAAUGUCGAGCCCAGGGAGAGUGCUUCAGUCGCGAUCCUGGACGAGGGAGAAAAGUUGGCAGUGCCAGAGAUCGAGAGUGGUGCACCGGAUUCCAUGCAUGCGACACAUGGUACAAUGGAGGACUCACAGCGAGCAUCUUCUGCCAUUGAGGACAUUCACGAGAACGUGGAAGAGGAGCAAACAAAAGUCGAGGUGCCACAUGAAGUUUCCGAACGCGAGGUCGAGCUUGCCGUCCCAGUGGAACAUCUCCCACAGUCAGGGAACGAAGAAGUCCAUGAGCCACAGCCUGUGCCUGAGGCCGUUCCCGAGCAUGAGGCCGUGCCUGAGGCUGCUGAAGAGGCUUCCAAGGAGGUGGAACCGGCCGAGCCAGUCGUAGAUGAAGUACCAACCGCCACAGUGGAUGACAUCUUAC